CCUACGGGAGGCAGCAGUGAGGAAUAUUGGUCAAUGGACGGGAGUCUGAACCAGCCAAGUCGCGUGAAGGAUUACUGCCCUAUGGGUUGUAAACUUCUUUUAUAAAGGAGUAAAACGAGGCACGUGUGCCUUUUUGCAUGUACUUUAUGAAUAAGGAUCGGCUAACUCCGUGCCAGCAGCCGCGGUAAUACGGAGGAUCCGAGCGUUAUCCGGAUUUAUUGGGUUUAAAGGGAGCGUAGAUGGGUUGUUAAGUCAGGUGUGAAAAUUUGCGGCUCAACCGUAACAUUGCAAUUGAUACUGGCGGUCUUGAGUACAGGUGAGGUAGGCGGAAUUCGUGGUGUAGCGGUGAAAUGCUUAGAUAUCACGAAGAACCCCGAUUGCGAAGGCAGCUUACUAAACUGCGACUGACAUUGAUGCUCGAAAGUGUGGGUAUCAAACAGGAGUAGAUACCCCUGUAGUC
This 460-nucleotide ribosomal RNA is filed under the name uncultured bacterium. RNAcentral describes it as "partial 16S ribosomal RNA". It matches the Rfam family "Bacterial small subunit ribosomal RNA", at positions 338 to 795 of the family's 1533-position model. The record is from RNAcentral.